This 497-nucleotide ribosomal RNA is filed under the name uncultured bacterium. RNAcentral describes it as "partial 16S ribosomal RNA". It matches the Rfam family "Bacterial small subunit ribosomal RNA", at positions 28 to 507 of the family's 1533-position model. The record is from RNAcentral.
GAUGAACGCUGGCGGCGUGCCUAAUACAUGCAAGUCGAGCGAACAGACGAGGAGCUUGCUCCUCUGACGUUAGCGGCGGACGGGUGAGUAACACGUGUAUAACCUACCUAUAAGACUGGGAUAACUUCGGGAAACCGGAGCUAAUACCGGAUAAUAUAUUGAACCGCAUGGGUCAAUAGUGAAAGACGGUUUUGCUGUCACUUAUAGAUGGAUCCGCGCCGCAUGAGCUGGUUGGUAAGGUAACGGCUUAGCAAGGCAACGAGGCGUAGCCGACCUGAGAGAGUGGUCGGCCGCCUUAGAGCGGGAACGGCGUCCUGGGUACUGAGAGACGCAGCAGAAGGGAACCGGCCGCAGCGGGCGGAAGCAUGACGGAGCAGCCGCGAGUCAGUGAUGACGAUCCUCGGAUCGUAAUACUCUCUUUUUAGUGAAGAACAGAUGUGUCAGUAACUAUGCACGUAUUGACGGUACCUAAUCAGAAAGCCACGGCUAACUACGUG